ACACAGAGUGCCAUAUUAUCUAACGGAAACCUGUCGGAAUAAAUAACGGCAGAGUAGCGUGACAGAAAAUAACCGCCCGGCGGACAACGCGCCGCCGGGUAAGGGUGAAAAGGUGGGGUAAGAGCCCACCGGGGUCGAUGGCAACAUUGGCUGCCGCACGCCUUAUGGGUUGCAAGGUCAAGUAUACCGGCAAUUAAGGGUUACUCGCCCGCUGCCGGGGGGUAGACUGCGUCAGAUAAAUGACGGACCGCGGCGGCCGUUCGCAUCCGUGCGAUAACGACCGUGGCGACAUAACCCGGCUUACAACCCGGCCGUCCUC
This 319-nucleotide RNase P RNA is filed under the name Muribaculaceae bacterium. RNAcentral describes it as "partial RNase P RNA component class A". It matches the Rfam family "Bacterial RNase P class A", at positions 59 to 367 of the family's 367-position model. Rfam says of the family: Ribonuclease P (RNase P) is a ubiquitous endoribonuclease, found in archaea, bacteria and eukarya as well as chloroplasts and mitochondria. Its best characterised activity is the generation of mature 5'-ends of tRNAs by cleaving the 5'-leader elements of precursor-tRNAs. Lineage: Bacteria; Pseudomonadati; Bacteroidota; Bacteroidia; Bacteroidales; Muribaculaceae. The record is from RNAcentral.